UGUGUCAGCAGCCGCGGUACAACGUAGGAGGCAAGCGUUAUCCGGAUUUACUGGGCGUAAAGCGCGUGCAGGCGGUUUGAUAAGUUGGAUGUGAAAGCUCCCGGCUCAACUGGGAGAGGUCGUUCAAAACUAUCAGACUUGAGGGCGGUAGAGGGAGGUGGAAUUCCGUGUGUAGUGGUGAAAUGCGUAGAUAUACGGAGGAACACCAGUGGCGAAAGCGGCCUCCUGGACCGAUCCUGACGCUCAGACGCGAAAGCUAGGGGAGCAAACGGGAUUAGAGACCCCGGUAGUCCUAGCUGUAAACGAUGUGAACUUGGCGUUGGUGGGUUUAAAUCCAUCAGUGCCGUAGCUAACGCGAUAAGUUCACCGCCUGGGGACUACGGCCGCAAGGUUAAAACUCAAAGGAAUUGACGGGGGCCCGCACAAGCAGCGGAGCGUGUGGUUUAAUUCGAUGUUACACGAAGAACCUUACCAGGGUUUGACAUACUAGUAUCGGCAUUUGUGAAUGCAGAUGCCACCCUCGGGAGGCUAGUACAGGUGUUGCAUGGCUGUCGUCAGCUCGUGUCGUGAGAUGUUCGGUUAAGUCCGCUAACGAGCGCAACCCUUACUGUGUGUUAUACGUGUCACACGGGACUGCCGGUGUCAAGCCGGAGGAAGGUGGGGAUGACGUCAAGUCAGCAUGGCCUUUAUAUCCUGGGCUACACACACGCUACAAUGGCCAGUACAAUGGGUAGCUAAGCCGCGAGGCGGAGCCAAUCCUCAAAGCUGGUCUCAGUUCAGAUCGCAGGCUGCAACUCGCCUACGUGAAGAUGGAGUUGCUAGUAACCGCAGGUCAGCUAUACUGCGGUGAAUACGUUCCCGGGCCUUGUACACACCGCCCGUCACGUCAUGGGAGCUGGCAACACCUGAAGCCGGUAUCCUAACCCGCAAGGGAGGGAGCCGUCGAGGGUGGGGUUGGUGACUGGGACGA
RNAcentral lists this ribosomal RNA (970 nucleotides) under uncultured bacterium. Its description in RNAcentral is "bacterial SSU rRNA". It matches the Rfam family "Bacterial small subunit ribosomal RNA", at positions 504 to 1483 of the family's 1533-position model. The record is from RNAcentral.